CAGAAACUGUACCAACGGUUUCCAAACCCAAAGAACCUCAAACUGUCAUUAGCAAAUCUAAUGAGGAAAUAAUACAGACACUCGAGGUCCUAGAGAAGAAGGAUUCAGAACAUAAAUCUGAUGAAGAAACUGAAGAGAAGGAGAAAGAUAAAGGUGACGAAGAGGAUGAAGCUGCAGAAGAAGAAUAUGAUGAGGAAGAAUGUGAAGAGGAAAAUGACUACAUUGCAUCAUACUUCGAUGAUGGAGAUGCCUAUGAAGCAAGUGAUGAUAAUAUGGAUGAAGCUACAUAUUAGUUGUCUGCCGGAUUAUGCAAUUAAUGUAUACUGUGAAAGUGUUCACCAUUCCUGCAGGAUUGUUCUGUGUGUCCUCAGGUCAUUUGCAGGGUUUUGUUUUGCACAUGUAAAGGAAUUCAAAUAAGAAAUAUUGUUUACAAUGAAGAUAAAUGGGUUCCACUUUAGCCUCAAUAAGCAUACAUCAGUUAGCGCUGGUCACUUUAGACUGGUUGAUUGAAACAAAUCCUGGUUUAAAUGCACUUAGGUUGGUGGUCGCACUGGCGUUCAUGUACCUAUGCAAGUCUUGUAGCAAAGAGCAAGAGGAAUGUGUCAAAGUAUCUUCCCUGGUGGUAAUUUACAUGUCAGCAGUUUCAGAUAAUGAUUAUCGACAGGGAUCAUUAUUUAUUCUGAACUAUAAUAUAUUGUAAGUGAAAGUAGACUGGUUUAUUGCAUCUUUGGUGCUAAAAUGUGUCAGUUCUUUCAACUGGUUCUGACUUAAACAAGCAUAAAAAAGAAUUCAAAGCAAUGGGUUGGAAUAAUUUGAUUUAUACUGCCUGAAUAUUUAGGAGCACUUGUAUUGUUCUCAGGCUUAAAAUUGUUCUGAAGUUAUUGUUAUCAUAAUGAAAUGCAAACAUGUUUGCAAAAAAAAAAUCAAUUGCCUCCAUUGCCCAGGCAUGUAACCUACCUCUUUAAAAUUAUAAUUGCACAAGUAUAUGUCCUUGGAUACUUCAAGCCUCCAGAUUAGUGUCACCUCUUCAAUGUAAUUGGUUUUAUUCUUGUGUUUGUGCGUUAUGGGGCAUUGCUUGCUAGGCUAAUAUUUACUAUUCAUCCUCAAUUGCCUUUGAGAACUGAUGAGCUGCCUUCUUGAAUUGCUGCAGUCCUUGGGAUGUAGAUAACUUCCUGUACUAUCAGGCAAAAUGUAUAAUGUUUAGUAACUUCUUUAAAAGAAAGAGGCAGACCAAGGUUGAAUAUGAAUGUGAUAACUCACUACCCUCCGAACUAUUCUCAUUGAAACAGCAUUUAAAGAUCAUUUGUUUGUUUACAAAAACCGUGAUGAAUAGUAUCCUAUAUGAAUCCUAUAUGAAUAGAAAUUUAGGAAAUGACAUGGCAGAUCAUGAAAUGUGGUCAAUCUGUCCCAUUGAUCUUUCAUAAAAAAAAUUCCAGGCUCUUCAAUACAUCUUACCGGCUUAUACUCAGUAUGGCUGCCUUAUUUCCUGCUGUGCCUCCAAUGGCUGGGUACCCUUUGGCAAUCAGAAUUGUACAUCAUGCACUAAAUAUGGAUGUAUGAGAGCUGCCUCAUCACCUCUUGUGAAGCCAAUAUGUGGUUAACUAUUCCUAUAGUUGUUACAGUGUUGUGUUUUGAUUCAGUGAGCUGUCCACCAAAUAAUCAACUCUUCUCCUGUAGCCCAGAGUGAUAUAGCUUCUAAUUACACUUUUUAAUACCUUCUCCAAAUUUUGUUUCCCACUUACCAACCUGACUAGCACUGAUACUACUUGAGUGACCCCUUUGUUAUUGCUGAACCUACAUUCAAGAACAUUGUUUUCUGAUUUCACCAGCCUUUAGUCUAAAUGCCUCAAAUUCCAUGCCUUGUGAGCAAGUGACACAAUCAAAAGCUUUUCUGAAAUCAUAAAAGAACUUGGUUUUCGAGAAAAGACAUGUGCCUUUCAUGUUCUCAGGUCACCCCAAAGCAUUUCGGUCGAUGAAUUGCUUCUGAAUCAUAAUCUCUGUUGUUUUGUGAACAAAAUCUGCAAGGUCCCUCAAAGAACAUACAAGUAAAUGAAUAAAUAAGCUAUUUUAGUUUGGGUAAGAAAUAAAUAUUUGUUCUGCACUAAAGUCCCUGCUAAAGUUAUAAAUUCAUUUUUUUUUCAUUCUGAACUUAAUCAUAAACCUUAACGUAAUGUUGUCAAAGAUUUGAAGAUGUCCUGUGAACUCCUGGUUUUUACUUAACAUCAGGACAGUAUUUUGAAUAGGAAAAAAUAGACUUCAGUCAGUCUGCAGCCCUCUUCUAUCAUAAUCUGCAUAUAAUCAAGGAACAUGUAGACAACUUUCUAAGUGGUCUGACUGGAAGGUCUAGAAUUACCCUGACAGGUUAUUAAUGAACUAAUGACUUGAAAAUUAAAGUGUAAUAUUACCUUGCCUUUACAUUUUUUUAAUAGGUUUUGUUAGUCAAUGAAAACCAGUAGUACCAGGGCUUAUUUGCAUUUGAUUUUGUAUAUUUUUGUGCAUAAAUAAAUGAUUUGGUAUUUGCUAUAACGUAUGCUAAAUGUAUGAAAUUUCU
Long non-coding RNA from Rhincodon typus (whale shark), 2551 nucleotides. RefSeq lists it as uncharacterized. The record is from RefSeq and is a predicted model, not a curated record. The transcript has 3 exons. Lineage: Eukaryota; Metazoa; Chordata; Chondrichthyes; Orectolobiformes; Rhincodontidae.